GCUCAUGAAGCAAAUUUGGGGAAAAUUAAACACUGUGAGCCAAGCCAAUUGGUAGGACACCAGGAGGGUUCCUUUUCUGACAGGUCUGAAUCUAAUUCCCUGGAGAAUUAAAGUAGAACUUUGUACUCAAUGAUCUCUCUCAAAUUUCUACAUCCAUAAACCCUUGUCAAUUGAGUGAUCAAAGUUAGAUGUACAUGUACUAUGCUGG
Molecule: unclassified non-coding RNA, 208 nt
Filed under: Hevea brasiliensis (rubber tree)
Lineage: Eukaryota; Viridiplantae; Streptophyta; Magnoliopsida; Malpighiales; Euphorbiaceae
Source: RNAcentral